Molecule: ribosomal RNA, 253 nt
Filed under: uncultured bacterium
Lineage: Bacteria
Description: partial 16S ribosomal RNA
Rfam family: Bacterial small subunit ribosomal RNA
Source: RNAcentral
UACGUAGGGGGCUAGCGUUGUCCGGAUUUAUUGGGCGUAAAGAGCGUGUAGGCGGCCAUGUAGGUCCGGUGUGAAAACUCGAGGCUUAACCUCGAGAUGUCAUCGGAAACCAUUCGGCUAGAGUCCGGAAGAGGAGAGUGGAAUUCCUGGUGUAGCGGUGAAAUGCGCAGAUAUCAGGAAGAACACCAAUGGCGAAAGCAGCUCUCUGGGACGGUACUGACGCUGAGACGCGAAAGCGUGGGGAGCGAACAGG